CAAAAAAAAAAAAAAAAGCCUAAAAUAGUGAACCUGCAUCAUGAAAUGGCCCCAAAAUCAAAGGAGAAUGCAAACUCUAUGGAGGGAUUUGGGGGGUUUUCUUUACUGCUGUAUUCCCAAUGCCUAGAAUGUCUGGCAUACAGUAGGUGCUUAAAAAUAUGAUUUUGAAUGAAUGAAUGAGAAGCUCCUGCUAUAAGUGCUGGGGUUAGCAUUACACAGGAAGCUUACGUCUUACUACCUUUGAAAAAUCUUUAGCAUCACCUCUGUUGAAAUUGUAGAUGAGAAAACACAGCAUUCAGCCUCUGCAAGGGAAGAAAAAACUGCCUCAGGAAGCCUUCCCUCCCCUACUAGCCCCAAUCAAGUCUUCAGAUGAGACUGUAGCCCAGCCAAUACCUUGUUUGCAACCAAAGAGGGAUCCCCUCUCUUUCAGGAGAGACCUUGAGUGUCUCUUGUAAUGCCUGUAUUGGACGUUUUUCAUCUUUUUUGAUGCUGAGGAUUUGAAACCCCUUGAUAAGUCUGAAGAAUUUCUUGCCAUAUGGAACUGUGUGGGAGGGAGAGUCUGUUUUCUGCCAUAGUAACUGAAAUAACCAAAUGCUUGUUUUCCAUAGCAGAGACUGUUAGCUGACCAAUAACCCCACUUUCUUUUUUUUCCUCCCUGAGGCACACAGCCAGGUUACAGCCUCCCUUGCAGUUGGGCCAUGUGACUGAAUUCUAACCAAUGGCAUAGAGCCACCUUUGGGCCUGGCCAAUAAAACCUCCCAUGCAUGGCCAUCUUUCUCGCAUUUUCUGGAUGUCUCUACCCUGGGCAGCCUUAGGAGCCAUACAUUGAAGAUGAUCCCUUACAUCUCUGUAAGAUGGCAUAGAUUUGAGGGAUUCCCCUACCCCAUGGCUGGGCAUUCUGUGAGAUUCUCAGCCAGGAUCAAUUUCUGUUGCUUGCAACAAAGAACCCAGACUUAUACACUGUCAGUACAAAGCAUCUGUCUAUAAAGAAGUUAUUUUACAGGUAAAUUCAAUUGUUAGCCCAGAAUAUGGUGAUCACUGUAGCUGGUCAUAGUUUACCCAGCCCUUAUGGAAAUUGUUAAUACAACGCCAUUGGCUGUUAGCUGUGACGUGUGGCCUGGAAUUAAUUCUGACUUUGAAAAGCCUGUUUACAAGGAUAACAGGCCAUACGUCAACUACUUUAGACUGGCUCCCUGGAGAAGAGGAGGGAAGUAGAGAUGCGGGAAGAAGGAGAAAAGUCAAAUAAUAAUCAAAAGGGGAAAAAUCUAAUUUUAACAAUAUACAAAUGCAUAGUUCCUACUGUUCAUCAGUCAUAUAUCCAAGUAUUUUUUUUUUGCAAUAACCAUUUUACCCUUACAACAGGCUUGCAGUGGUAGGCACCAUUGCUAACCCUAGUUAACAUAGAGAUGCCGCUAAGGCCAUAUGGCUGCUAAGUGGUAGAGCCAGGGUUUCAGCGAAGCAGUUCUUAGUCACGGCCGCGCUGACAAGUAAGAACCAAGGAAUCUGACUAACUCAACUUUCUCUGCCCUCGAAGCACAAUCAAGACAACUAAAAACAACUAAGAAAAUAAAAUAAAAGCAGUCAUGCUUGGCAGGGCACUUGACAUAAUUUGAGUAAGGCACUUAAUUUUCCCUCCAAUAGCACCGAGAAUCUUGAUUUCAUAGGUCAUGUCAGGUAAAGAACUUGAUUGUGGGAGCUUCUUAAAAUGGCCUGAGGCGUUCCGGCUGCCUGACCAAUCUGGCUGCAGCCUGAGGCUCUGCCUCAGUUAUCUGCAGUACCCAGGUUGUCAGAGCCAAGGAUCUCUGCAAAUCGCCUUUGUUUAUGGGUUGAGCUGACCAAAUAUGUGGACAGGAAGCCUGCCCGAAGGGUAUUCGCGUGGCUCAUCACUUUCCAAUGAAAAGGCUGAAACGGGGCUCCUGGAGCGGGGACCAGGCCUUUUGUGGUUGCACCCCAGCAUUUACCACGGACCUGAUGUGCAGGCUUUGCUGAGGGAAUCAGAACUUUUCCAGCUCCAGUGCUUCCCAGAAGGAAGCCCAUCAGGAUGAUGCUGAUGCAGCUGGCCCGGGAGCCCCACAGUGAGAGCCACUGCCUCAGAGUAAGACCCUACCUUGAGAUGGGUGGCCAGCACAUCCCAACCAGAAGUUCCAGAAUGGACUCCAGGGACACAUUUGCUCCAGCAUUUGAAUUCUGAGAUCUCCCCAUUUUCUUUUCUGCCAAUUUUUUGGCAGUUUCAUAUAAAUAGCAAAUGCACUUUCCUUUUAAGGAAUUUUUUUUUUUCUUUUAGUGAGCAACAGGUGCUUGCUGCAGCUCCACAUGCAACUGUUUGACCUUGACAAGAAAUUCUAUGUCUCUAGGCCUUCAUUUCUUCAUCAAGAAAAUGAGGCGGUUAAAUGAGGAUCAUAAAAUUCUGUGUUUUAGAGCCUACUUUUGAUAUCUCAGGUGAAGACAGAAGCUUGAAAUUACUGAAUCUUGGCUUUUUCAUUAUUUCUUGGUCAUAUCUAUGAUUUAUUGAAGUCAGGAAUGCAACCCCCAACUCUAAGUGAUAGAUGGGAUAAUAAAAUGCUUUUUUGCCCCAGUUUUAUUUAUUGCAAAAACAGUAUUAUAAAAGAGCGAAGACAAUCUGAGAGAUUAAACAUUUUAUUCCGCUCUAACACAACAGCUGUUUUCAUUUUGCUGGGUUCCCUUCACGUUGUGGGUAAUCUUAGAACGGGCGUACAUUUGUAUGCUGCAUCUUAGUGUUUGGCCAUAAACAUGCCACCAGCAAUAUAUAAAUAAAUUAGCUUCACUAUGAAGUCACUACCAUUGGCAUUUAGCGUUGUUUGGCUAAUGUGACAAAUGCAAUUGGUACCUCAUUGAUGUUUUCAGUUGUAAUGUUUUAUUAUUAGAGAUGCUGACCAUUUUUUUCAUGCGUUUGUUUACUGUAUGCAUUUCACCGAGUUUCCUUAUCUGAGGAUUGUCUGUUUAUGAGGAGGCCAUUGAAAAACACCCAGCACUAGGCCUGGCAGCCAAUAACAAUCUCAACAACAGUAGUUUGCCAUCUUCCUGAGCCUCAUGUCUUUGUCUGGGAAAUAGUAAGGCAGUGGGAAGGUUGGAUGAGAUCGUUUGUGAUAAGGGUCUAGCACUGUGUCUGGCGUAUAGAAAGGGUGGUUUCUAGUGUUCUUUACCCAUCUGCCAGGGCUUGAUGUUCUAAAUUUGAUGGAUAUCCACUUUAAUAGUGACGUUUCAUGAACACAUGGGGAAAAAGUGGUGUCUUGUUGAAUUCAGUAGCCCAGUCUUCCAAAUUUGCAAAAUGAGGAUAAUAAUAUAUCUACUCACUGAAUUGUGAUGAUUAAAGAUGAUGAUCCUUGUAAAGCACUUAGCCUUGUGCCUGGCACACAGGAAACCUUCCAUGAAUGUUAGCUUUAUUAUAUGCUUUGUCACAUCUAUAACCAAAGAGGUUAUUAUUUUUAAUCUUAAUGAUCUUUACCAGGUUGCAUUCCAAAAAUGUAAAGUGGAUCUUAUUUACAUUUAGAAGAAUAUUCUGAACUUUGAAUGGAAAGACUUAGUUGCAUUUUGAAAAUCUUAAGCAACACAGUGUACUACUCUUGUUUCUGAAGCUCUUGUUUAAAGAAACAAGGAAAAAGCAUUGUGAAAUAAAGGCAUUUGCAUAGUGUCAAGCAGAAAUAACUAUGGUCAAGGGGAAAACAUAUUUUUAAAAUCCCUAUUUGUUGGUGGCAAAUACUGCUUUGCAGAUAUAUGAACAGAAUCUCUUGAGGGAAUUUCACUCAACAUUACAAAAAAGAUUUACCAGGGAUCUUGUAUUAACCAUGAAGGAUUUAAAAUUGAAGUCAUGUAUACAUACAUAUUUUUUAUAUGUGCCUGAAAAUAGGGGUCUAAGGAGAAGACUUCUCAUUCCCUAUGACACAGCAAAUCAAUAACCACAUCUGUGUGUCUAAAGUGCUUUAUGGUCUGCAAGUCAUUUUCUUAUACGUUUUCCAGUUUGAUUCUCACAAUGAUCCAUGAGGGACAAGAAGCAGGUUUAAUAAUUCUUAUAUUAGAGAUGGGAACACUGACCCACACAGAAUUUCUGGCUUGUUCAAGAUCCUACAGCUACUAGAAAAGCCAGGUCUCUCUGUAGAUCCAUGGGCUCCAGACUUGGGUCUCUGCUCAUCACACUGCAACUAGCUCCACUAAAACUCAUUGCCUAUAACAACCAACGUGUCGUAUGUUCAUAACACAAACAUUAGUCAAACACACCCAGAUCAAUGUAGGUGUGGAAAUAAUAUUUUUGAACCCCAAAACGUAAUUCCCAAUCCAUUUUCAAAAGACAAACCCACGCCAGCAAAGGCAAGAACACACAAAGUGCCACUGAGAAUGAUAAGACUGCCACCCAGCCCACUUCCACCUGGAGCUCACUGCCACCUGGCCCAGUUCCACCUGGAGCUACUCUGUGAUUCAUUUGGCCAUGUCACAGUGCACACUCCUUUGUUUUCAGGAACUUAGAGAUCUCUUAAAUAAGCACGGGGUGUGUUUGUUAAAGAUGCUGAUAUGGUAAAGGAACAGUACACAAAUCCAUGUCCUGGGAGGACGUCCCACAGGUGAGGACUUGCAAGGUCUCCAACUGGAUUCCCUUCUUAUAGAGCUGGCAGAAUGGGCCUUGGAAAGUCACCUUACAGAUAUGGAAGAAAGGCAUGCCAGGCACUAUUCCCUCCUCCCUACCAUAGUUGAUGUUUAUGAAGGUUCUUCUGGGCAAGUGACCUAGAAUAACCCCAUGAAACUAGCACUGAAGCUUCCAGAUGAUGUGGUAAGAUUACAAAUGCUAGCUGCUUCAGGCAAGGUUAGACAAAUAGCCUUCUUAGAUAUACAUGGUAAAUACUGAUAAUUGUGUGUUCACGUAUGUUUUAUGUCAUAGGCAGAGUUCAUUCCUGCUGCGGAGUUGUCCUUGCCUAGAAAGAUACCAUUGGCCACUCUCUGUUGUCACUGCUGCUUUUCUCCUCCCACAUCCACUGCGGUAUCUAAAAACCCCUGGACUGUGGGUCAAGAGACUGGGUGGGAGACACGUUCCAAUGCCCAUAGUCGUGUGGUCAUGGACAAGGCAGUUUCCAUCUCCCAGCUCUGCUUCCUUAACAGUGAAGUGGAGAUAGCCAUGUUUGUUCUUCCUACACAGGUAAGUGAGGCAAAGGUGGUAAUGUAUGUGAAAGAGUGUUGACAAUCCGAAGGACCUAAUUUCUUUUCUGGAAAUUGUUUUCAUUUGAUGUUUUUCAAAUUAUGAACACAUAACAUAUUAGUUGUUAUAGGCAAAACAGUUCAAAGACAUAUAGAGAAAAUUCCCACCAUCAUUAACUUCUAAUCUUACCUUCCCGAGAUAUCCAAAGUCUACACACAACUGUUCACGAUGCUCAUACAAGCACAGGCAAGCAAAUAUACACAGAAACUGGGGUUUGGGUUUAUUUCUUUUUACUGAAACAGGGUCAUACUAUUGUAGGAGUUAUUAAGAAAUUAUUUUAGGCAGAUAGGAAAAAGAGUCCUUGAAAAAUUUUCAUUUUUAAAGCAGCUCUUAGCGCCAGGCCCACAACCUUUGAUAUGCAAAUGCAGGCCAUUAGAAACUGGGUCUACCCAAACAUGGCGAUUCCCCUGGCCUUCUUGCCCUUGCCCCACAUGUUCCUGGCUUCAUGGCUGCCCCCACAUACCCCUACCUGUGUAGAACAUCAUGGCGCCCUGCAUUUGCAUAUUAAAAGGCUAGGGUGGGAGGGCCAGCUUUUCCGCGGGCUACAUGAAUGACAUGCCUGCUCAAACCAAUCCCCUGAGCCCUGUGCAAAUCAGACCCCGCCUCCUCCAGCCUCUAUAUAUACCCGGCUGGUUUCCACCGUACUUGGGGUUCCCUCUCUCGGCUUUGGAGCCCCCUCCCUCUGUCUCUGUACAGGGGAUCUUCUUCCUUUUUUCUUGCCUGUUAAAUUCUCUGCUCCUUAAAACCACUCCACGUGUGUCCUUGUUGUUUCAUCGAAUUCAACACGAGACAAGAGCCCUGGUGUUCCUCCACUCAUCGGAGCCGUAUCGUUACCAAACGCAUGGCUCUGCAACUUGCUUUUUUAUUUUAUGAUAAAGCACAAACAUCUCUGCAAAGUUGUGGAUUUUAAACUUAGUUUUUGUUUCCUUAAUUUCUUUAUACACACACACACACACACCUGUGUGUAUGUCAGUUACAUAUGGAAUCAUUAAAAAAAAAAAAUUCCUCCCCUCCCCAGCUACCCCUAAUUCCAUAAUCCCAUUACCCUUUCCAAUGUAUCUUUCAUACUUUCCUCCAUGUUCAUAUAAUCAUAUAAAAUAUUUAUGCACAUAUACACUUCUGCAAGGUUUUUUAAAAACGUGUUUCAAAAAUGCAGUGGAACACAUACUAUUCUUAUAUCAAUCAAUGAAACCAAAUGAAAACACCUGUAAUUUAACUGGAAUGGUGCAUGAUUUUUAAUGCCUAUUAUUUUAUGGGGUGAAGGCAGUUUUGUCUGGUAAAGAUAGAACACCCAGCUCUCUCAGGAAAAGCCCUGACUGCUAGUGUUUGCUGACAUCCAUGCCCUAAACGUUCCCACCAUGGCUCAUUUCAAACUACCAGUGUGAUGGCUGGGUGGAGCCGAGUUGAGAAGAGUUCCGUGCAGGAUCUCUGGAGACACCUCCAGCAAACUACUGGGAGGAAGUUUCGUGAUGAAUUCACGUUCUCUCUAUUGAUGGACAUUCACUUUGUUUCUAGAUUUUCUUCCUCCACUACGAAGAGUGAUAUAUUACAGCAACCUUAUAACUACAUUCUUCAAAUUGGUUCUUUUAUUUCUAACAGCUAGAUUCCUCAGGAGUGAGAUUGUUGAUUCAUAAAGAAUGCAGAUUAAAAAAAAUUAGUAAGUGCUGCCAGAUUGUUUUUCAAACAGCUUUCU
Molecule: long non-coding RNA, 6899 nt
Organism: Cercocebus atys (sooty mangabey)
Lineage: Eukaryota; Metazoa; Chordata; Mammalia; Primates; Cercopithecidae
Exons: 3
Source: RefSeq, a predicted model, not a curated record